This 254-nucleotide ribosomal RNA is filed under the name uncultured bacterium. Its description in RNAcentral is "partial 16S ribosomal RNA". It matches the Rfam family "Bacterial small subunit ribosomal RNA", at positions 524 to 776 of the family's 1533-position model. The record is from RNAcentral.
CACGUAGGGUGCGAGCGUUGUCCGGAAUUAUUGGGCGUAAAGAGCUCGUAGGCGGUGUGUCGCGUCGGCCGUGAAAACCUGCAGCUUAACUGUGGGCUUGCGGUCGAUACGGGCAUCACUGGAGUUCGGCAGGGGAGACUGGAAUUCCUGGUGUAGCGGUGAAAUGCGCAGAUAUCGGGAGGAACACCAGUAGCGAAGGCGACACUCUGGGCCGGUACUGACGCUGAGGAGCGAAAGCGUGGGGAGCAAACAGG